CCGGGCCCUUCCCUGGCCUGAAGCCGUCGCGCCUCUGGACUGACCCGGGCCGGCGCAAGGCGGGAAAGGAGCAGCAUCCGGGCUCUUCCCAGGUUUGCGCUCAGGGAACAGCGUGGGGCCUGAGCUGUUCCGGACCGGCGCCGUUGGGUGGCUUCGGAGGAAAGGGAAAGUGAGUCUUUGCACGACCCCGAGGCCGCGAAGAGUCCGGCUUUGUCUCGGGAGACAAGGAGGCCUCGCGUUUCCUCAUUCGGUUCCUGCCAGCGUCUCCCGGCUUCUAGCGUUCUUGAGGCGCGGCCUGAGCUGCCUGCGGCCGCCACCUGACUUCCCGGCGAGGGCCUCGAACCCAACAUUUGAGGACACCCAGGUGAAGAAACUGAGGCCCGGAAGGGUGUUAGCAGUGAUAAUGGGCCUGUGGACUGUGGUCUGGAAUUGUAGGAGGAAAAUUGGACUAUAGGAUUUGGUAAGUAUCUAUAGAAGGUGAACCAGAAGCCAACUUCUU
RNAcentral lists this long non-coding RNA (499 nucleotides) under Saimiri boliviensis boliviensis (Bolivian squirrel monkey). RNAcentral describes it as "lncRNA (ENSSBOG00000036577.1)". Lineage: Eukaryota; Metazoa; Chordata; Mammalia; Primates; Cebidae. The record is from RNAcentral.